RNAcentral lists this ribosomal RNA (867 nucleotides) under uncultured bacterium. RNAcentral describes it as "bacterial SSU rRNA". It matches the Rfam family "Bacterial small subunit ribosomal RNA", at positions 57 to 892 of the family's 1533-position model. The record is from RNAcentral.
GCGAGUCUGCCUUGAAGAUCGGAGUGCUUGCACUCUGUGAAACAAGAUACAGGCUAGCGGCGGACGGGUGAGUAACACGUGGGUAACCUGCCCAAGAGAUCGGGAUAACACCUGGAAACAGAUGCUAAUACCGGAUAACAACAGAUGAUGCCUAUCAACUGUUUAAAAGAUGGUUCUGCUAUCACUCUUGGAUGGACCUGCGGUGCAUUAGCUAGUUGGUAGGGUAACGGCCUACCAAGGCGAUGAUGCAUAGCCGAGUUGAGAGACUGAUCGGCCACAUUGGGACUGAGACACGGCCCAAACUCCUACGGGAGGCAGCAGUAGGGAAUCUUCCACAAUGGACGCAAGUCUGAUGGAGCAACGCCGCGUGAGUGAAGAAGGGUUUCGGCUCGUAAAGCUCUGUUGUUGGUGAAGAAGGACAGGGGUAGUAACUGACCUUUGUUUGACGGUAAUCAAUUAGAAAGUCACGGCUAACUACGUGCCAGCAGCCGCGGUAAUACGUAGGUGGCAAGCGUUGUCCGGAUUUAUUGGGCGUAAAGCGAGUGCAGGCGGCUCGAUAAGUCUGAUGUGAAAGCCUUCGGCUCAACCGGAGAAUUGCAUCAGAAACUGUCGAGCUUGAGUACAGAAGAGGAGAGUGGAACUCCAUGUGUAGCGGUGAAAUGCGUAGAUAUAUGGAAGAACACCGGUGGCGAAGGCGGCUCUCUGGUCUGUUACUGACGCUGAGGCCCGAAAGCAUGGGUAGCGAACAGGAUUAGAUACCCUGGUAGUCCAUGCCGUANACGAUGAGUGCUAAGUGUUGGGAGGUUUCCGCCUCUCAGUGCUGCAGCUAACGCAUUAAGCACUCCGCCUGGGGAGUACGACCGCAAG